GGCUGGUUAGCUCAGUCAGUUGAGCGUGGUGCUGAUAACACCAAGGUCACAGGUUCGAUCCCUGCUCGGUCC
This 72-nucleotide transfer RNA is filed under the name Apaloderma vittatum (bar-tailed trogon). It matches the Rfam family "tRNA". From Rfam's summary of the family: Transfer RNA (tRNA) molecules are approximately 80 nucleotides in length. Their secondary structure includes four short double-helical elements and three loops (D, anti-codon, and T loops). The record is from Rfam by way of RNAcentral. Lineage: Eukaryota; Metazoa; Chordata; Aves; Trogoniformes; Trogonidae.